Molecule: transfer RNA, 43 nt
Filed under: Nemesia meridionalis
Lineage: Eukaryota; Metazoa; Arthropoda; Arachnida; Araneae; Nemesiidae
Also listed under: 1 other name
Description: tRNA-Leu
Source: RNAcentral
CUUAUUGGCAGAUCAUUGCAUUAGAAUUAGAAUCUAAUUAACC